CUCUCAUAACAACAACAGCCUCCUGCAGCUCUGAACUUCUGUGGUGUCUUUAUCGUAUGCACAGGCUUUCCCCAGUCCCCCAUUCCUGGCUGACACGACCAAGGAAUCAGUAAGGAUC
Molecule: long non-coding RNA, 118 nt
Filed under: Columba livia (rock pigeon)
Lineage: Eukaryota; Metazoa; Chordata; Aves; Columbiformes; Columbidae
Description: partial uncharacterized LOC106145771
Source: RNAcentral